CCGAAGUAUGGGUUGCUGAUCUCCACAAGUAUAUCAUAUGGAUAGGAGUUUCUUCAGAUUGCUCGUAGCCGUAUAAAGGUAUCCGACCUCUACAAAUCAUCCACACGAAGAAAGGAUGCUGAUCUGGCUCCUCAGAAGUGCUAGCUUGCAAGGAUCUUUGAAGGCUGAUCUUCUUCUUCUUCUUUUGUUCUCUUAGAGCCUCCAGAGAGGAAGAAGAAUAAUUAGAUGAAGGGAAG
This 236-nucleotide long non-coding RNA is filed under the name Elaeis guineensis (African oil palm). Its description in RNAcentral is "long non-coding RNA (EGUI_LNC052538)". Lineage: Eukaryota; Viridiplantae; Streptophyta; Magnoliopsida; Arecales; Arecaceae. The record is from RNAcentral.